This is an RNA transcript of Zingiber officinale, 1438 nucleotides long. It is a transcript of the gene named chaperone protein dnaJ 11, chloroplastic-like, with no coding region annotated. The transcript is spliced from 3 exons. NCBI's taxonomy places the organism in Eukaryota, Viridiplantae, Streptophyta, Magnoliopsida, Zingiberales, Zingiberaceae. The record is from RefSeq and is a predicted model, not a curated record.
CCUUACUCUUCAUCCUAACUAACCCUCAUCAUGUCACUCGCCUCCUCCCAAUUCCUCGCUCAACGCAUCGUGCCUCCUCGCCGUUCCUCCGCUGCAUCUUUUUCUCCACCGUCCCCCUUGUCGAUCCGCUCUCUCGAUGUCUUCGUUGCAUACUCCGCCACGACCGACCGCUCGCACGCUGACCCGGCCACCGUCGCCUUCUCCCCCUCGUCCCCUUACUCUUCCUCCCUCUACGACGUGCUCGGCGUGUCCCCUACCGCCAGUCCCCCCGAGAUCAAGGCUGCUUACCGGAGUCUCGCCCUCAAGUGCCAUCCGGAUGUAGUCGCCACCGGCCGCCGGGGUGCGUCCGCCGACGAGUUCAUGCGAGUUCACGCGGCUUACUCCACCCUCUCGGACCCCGAAAAACGGGCAGACUACGAUCGCCGGCUUACCGACUCGGCAGCGUUGCUAGUCCGCGGACGCCGUCAAGCGUACGCCCGGAGCACUUCGUUCCCCGGCCACAGUCGCCGGACGUGGGAGACGGAUCAGUGCUGAUUGGAGCUCGGAGUCAGCAUGAUCCAGAGCUUCCACCGCCGCAACGACUGAACUUGCUGUUUCUAGAAGUUUCAGGUUUCAGCUUAACCUGAGAUGAAUUUUCUUCUGCCUUGAAUGCCUUUCUUUGUUGUUCUUGGACCAUGUCAAAGCUUCAAAGUAGUGUUGCAUUAUUUUGAUUUGUUACUCCAGAUCUCCGAAAGUUCAAACAUAUCCUUUUUACACGUAAAAGAUUGAAUGCAAGUCUAAAGAUUUAUUUUAUUUAUUUGCUUGCCAACAAGGAAGAAGCAAAGAAGGAAAGUGAUAUCUGCAAUAAUUGGUCUCUGGUUUUCCAAAAAGAGGAACGGUGGUGGAAACUUCAUGGAUUUUUAUUUUAUUCAUGGACUGCGUGCCUGGAAAAAUGCCAUUUUACCUUCUGAAAGAACGGUCACAGAGCCAGAGUCUCCAUCAAUGCUGUGGCAAUAAAUCUAGAAGGCCAAAGAAAAAAGGCAAUAAAAAUAGACUCUUAAGUCUCACCUGCACUGGAGAAAAAAUUGGCAAUGCAAUGCUUCUUUAAAUUAUUGUACUUGAAUUGAUUGAUGCUGCUGUGGAUAUUCACUACUAUUUAGUGAGGAAGCCAUCAACAUCUGAUAACGAUUUUUGUGCGCAUAUCAUGCGCACUUGAUUUCUUGAUUACAUCGAUUCUUUCAUGGACGCCACUUGCUUGGUGCAACUGUGCGAGUGGGGACAAGGGUAUGAAAAAGGAAUGCAAUAAUGGAGGUGGAUAAUGAAGAGGCAAUUGGAUCAGAGAUUUCAGUUUAGACACCACUGUGUAUAAGUUUAUUUGUUGACUUGGAAUUAUUAUGUUUGGAAUUUGUUUCGAUUAAAAUGUCCGAGUAGUUAAAUGAUUUAUCUGCUCGAUUGAAUC